GACGAACGCUGGCGGCGUGCCUAAUACAUGCAAGUUGAGCGCUGAAGGUUGGUACUUGUACCAACUGGAUGAGCAGCGAACGGGUGAGUAACGCGUGGGGAAUCUGCCUUUGAGCGGGGGACAACAUUUGGAAACGAAUGCUAAUACCGCAUAAAAACUUUAAACACAAGUUUUAAGUUUGAAAGAUGCAAUUGCAUCACUCAAAGAUGAUCCCGCGUUGUAUUAGCUAGUUGGUGAGGUAAAGGCUCACCAAGGCGAUGAUACAUAGCCGACCUGAGAGGGUGAUCGGCCACAUUGGGACUGAGACACGGCCCAAACUCCUACGGGAGGCAGCAGUAGGGGAUCUUCGGCAAUGGACGAAAGUCUGACCGAGCAACGCCGCGUGAGUGAAGAAGGUUUUCGGAUCGUAAAACUCUGUUGGUAGAGAAGAACGUUGGUGAGAGUGGAAAGCUCAUCAAGUGACGGUAACUACCCAGAAAGGGACGGCUAACUACGUG
This 497-nucleotide ribosomal RNA is filed under the name uncultured bacterium. RNAcentral's name for it is "partial 16S ribosomal RNA". It matches the Rfam family "Bacterial small subunit ribosomal RNA", at positions 28 to 507 of the family's 1533-position model. The record is from RNAcentral.